Molecule: non-coding RNA, 69 nt
Organism: Rattus norvegicus (Norway rat)
Lineage: Eukaryota; Metazoa; Chordata; Mammalia; Rodentia; Muridae
Source: Rfam
GGGGAUUUAGCUCAGUGGUAGAGCGCUUGCCUAGCAAGCACAAGGCCUGGGUUCGGUCCCCCAGCUCCG